Helianthus annuus (common sunflower) is the source of this 3527-nucleotide long non-coding RNA. RefSeq lists it as uncharacterized. The transcript has 7 exons. The record is from RefSeq and is a predicted model, not a curated record. NCBI's taxonomy places the organism in Eukaryota, Viridiplantae, Streptophyta, Magnoliopsida, Asterales, Asteraceae.
CAUUUGAUUUACUCUCACAAAACUUCAUCAACCCUUUCUCUCUCUCUCUCUCUGGCGACUCAUGAACAUAUCUGUAAGGAUUUCACCAGAUCUAGGGUUUUACUUUCAUUCGAAUUCAAAUCCAUGACCCCAACCUGUGACGGUGUGGUGUGCAGUGUUAAAAUCCGCUGAUUAGGGUUCGCGGGUAAUCAGCCGACAUCGGUGCUUUUUGACGGAAGGGGUGCCGUACAACAACAUCCAAUUUCAAGAGAGAACUCGAAAGGGGCAACUUUUCGAUGUGGGUUGGGUUUUCUUGAAGCAUUGUUGAGAUUUCAAGAUUCUUGAAGAACUCAAAAGGGGCAACUUUUCGAUGUGGGUUUGAUCUGUUUCAAAAUAAUAAGUGAAAAAGUGUACAUCUUGAAGAGUUUAGAUGGGUGUAAUUAGUACUUUGUUGGGGUUUGCUGGGUUUGGAAUUGGGGUUUCUGCUGGCCUUGUGAUUGGUAUCUGUCAUCUACUUCCAACCUACAGAUGUCAAUUCUAUGGGUUUUAAAACUUUUGAUCAAGCUACUCCUACAUAAGAGUUAUCAGCCUACGAUCUACACAGAACCGAGUGGCGGUUUAAGCAUAUCUUCAGAGGUCAACUGCGAAGGCAUCUGCUUACAAUAGGCUGGAGUACUUUCAAUACUAACAAGCGAUUAGUGGCUGGCGACUCAUUCGUAUUCCUUAGAGGGGGAAACGGUGAAUUACGUGUUGGAGUUAGACGUCAAAGCAUGCACUUGGGUGUUCUUGCAACUGCAUCACAUGCGGUUUCAACUCAAACGCGGAUUACUACAAACCAAGGACAAGUCAGUUCAUCAUAGGAUUAAACAAGUAUAUAGAAGACGUAAACAAUUGUAUUACUCUUGGCAUGAGAUUUAAAAUGGGGUUUGAGGGUGAGGGCUCUCCUGAAAGAAGGUUUACCGGUACAAUAAUUGGAAUCGAAGACAUAUCUCCUCAGUGGGAGGAUUCCAAGUGGUGUUCAUUAAAGGUUUAUUGGGAUGAACCUGCUUCGAUUACGAGACCGGAACGCAUUUCAAAUUUGCAGAUCCGUGUUGUUCAAGUUUUCUUUGUGGUUGAUAAAUAUUGAUUUUUACUUUAUUUUGUAUGUUAUUUGUUGGUUUUGUUUCGUUGGAAGCAUCUAUGAAUCAGGAAUUAAAUUAAAGGAUUCCUCACUUUAACGUAAAAUCAAAGAUUCUUUGUCGUGUUGUUCAUACUCAGCUAUUGGCUGAACAAGACACGGGUGAAGUUUAUGCUUAAAUUAAAGGAUUCCUCACUUUAACGGGUGAAGUUUAUGCUCAAAUCACUUUACUUCCAGAGGCAAAUUUAUUAACUUUUUCUUGCUUUUGUAGGCUGAAUAAGAAGCACCACGAGUAUGGUGAGUGGGUCAACUUGGUUAACUGGGUCAGACACGGUAUUGUCAAACCAUCAAACGUUUUGGGUAUUUUUUCAUUUGAAUAUACUAUUAUACCAUAAGUUCAUGAAACCCAUAUAAUAUAUAUGUACGAUAUCAUGGAUUCAUGGGCCACCACAAGUAAUAUUCGCAUACUUAAAAUACCAAUGGUCACUUGGGGAGGACCAUAAGCCCAAGGAAGCUUUUGUUUAUUUUUAAAAAAAUAUUUAAUAGAAUUCUAUAGUUAUUAUUAAAGUUAUAGAAUUCAACGAAUGUCAUUUUUUUGCAUGCUUAAAAAUUGCAGAUAAGAGCCAGGGGCAUUUAGAACACCGAGUUCAUGCUGCCAUUAACAAAUUUGCAGACCUUGGGUUAAGAUUACUUUUUAUUUAUUAUUAUGUUCAGGUUUUGAUUGUUGGUUGUGUUUUUUUAAAUGGGAAGUUCUAGAGGGAAGGAUAAAAAGAGAGUCCAGCAGGAUCAUGGCAGUUUAUCGGGCUAAUGCGGCUCUUUGAUCCACCACGUCAUGUUAGUGUCAGGACGAUACAUAAGGCUUUGAAUCUUGUAGUAAACAUUAAAAUGAUUACAGGUGCAUUACGAUUUUAAGUUUCGAUUGACUUUUUAAAGUCAAACAUAUUACUUUGAAUAAAUAUUUUUCCUUUGAAUUUUUGAGAAUAAUGUGACAAUAACAAGUGUACAGACAUAAAAUGUCAAUAUUCACCAACUAGAAACGUUUUAGUGUUAAUUGCUAAAAAAUCCAUUUCGUUAUCGGUUUUAAAUGAUACUAGGUUUGACCUCAAAAGCAAUUUUUGUAAGAGAGCUAGCAAUGGUCCUUUCAGUAGUUCCAUUGACAUUGUUUAAGUCCGUACCCAUUUAUAGGCCGGUUUGGGUUUUUAAAUCUCAAACGGGUCAAAUAGAAGGCAACUAGAAGCAAAACGGGUCAAAUUUGCCCAAAACAAAAUUUUAUGUGUACACCUUCCUAAUUGUUAUUAUUUAUAACAAUAUAGUUUUGUAAUUAUAGUUGGCACAUUAGCUGUCUAUAAAAGAUGUAAAAUAAGUGCUUCGGGUCGACUUGAUCGUUUUUAACCUGCAUUAAAAGUUACUUUGGAAUAGGAAAUCAACUGCCAAUCCAGAAAGAAGCCAUGUAGCCUUCUUCAGCUUUGCUUGGUCAAGAUAAAGACGAUUCAAUUGUCGCUUUACUCAUCGAUGAAGUCGCAGAAAAAACCUAUGAUUUUGUGGUUGUUUUCCCAGGUACGUUUUUCCGCAUUUCAACUAAUCAGGUCUAAAACGACACGGGUCACGUUGGCAUUUAUUUAUUUAGUUGAUUCUUUUUCCUCUCGGAACACGCACUACUUAUAGUAUUUUACUAUCACCGGCAUGCAAAGGAAAUGUUUUCCUAGGUAUGCCCUUCCCCAUUUCAAUUGAUAUUCUGGUCUAAAUAUUGUGUUUUUAAACUAUAUCCACAUUCUGACUUCUCUCUACAGUCUAUCAGAGGACCUAGAGGGGCCAUAUUAUUCUUCAAAAAAGAUCAUGUUUUGGGAAUUGAAUUAGAAUCUACCAUUAACAAUGUUUUUUUCCCAGUUUGCAGGUUAGUUCUUAAUCACUACUGUGUAAUCAUGGCUAGGGGCAAGGUGGUCUUUUUCUAGCCUUACCUGUAUUUUUUGUUAUUAAAACAAAUGACCUUAAAAAGGUAGUCUUGUAGUUUGCUUGAAUUAGACUCGAUCUUGAGAAUUCAAAGCUAACUAGAACCAGGUUUAUUUCCAUCUUAUUUGGUUAGCAUCACAAGAAGCAACCGUUAGAAUUUUCUACUGGUUCAGUGGUUUAUCAUGGUGCUCUUGCAGAUUGUUUCUAAUUGUGGAGCUCUUGUUAAAUGAUUGUUGGAGCUAGAAUACACAUUGGCCUUCUUGAAAGUGAUAGAUUGGAGAACAAGCUUGAAACAAAGAGCUGGCUUUCUACAUUUAUUUUAUAGAGUUGUAAUGACUUGGGAGAUAAACUAAAAACUGAAAUGAUGUUAUAGCGGGUAUACUUUUCAACAUAUUUAUAUAAAAGUAUACAUAUGUUGGUGUUAUGGUGGGUAUACUUUUUUUUUUUUGAGAAAUACAUACAAGUGUGGCCAUUAUGAAUU